ACGGAGGGUGCAAGCGUUAUCCGGAUUUAUUGGGUUUAAAGGGUCCGUAGGCGGAUCUGUAAGUCAGUGGUGAAAUCUCACAGCUUAACUGUGAAACUGCCAUUGAUACUGCAGGUCUUGAGUAAAUUUGAAGUGGCUGGAAUAAGUAGUGUAGCGGUGAAAUGCAUAGAUAUUACUUAGAACACCAAUUGCGAAGGCAGGUCACUAAGAUUUAACUGACGCUGAUGGACGAAAGCGUGGGGAGCGAACAGG
This 252-nucleotide ribosomal RNA is filed under the name uncultured bacterium. RNAcentral describes it as "partial 16S ribosomal RNA". It matches the Rfam family "Bacterial small subunit ribosomal RNA", at positions 525 to 776 of the family's 1533-position model. The record is from RNAcentral.